This 465-nucleotide ribosomal RNA is filed under the name uncultured Klebsiella sp. Its description in RNAcentral is "bacterial SSU rRNA". It matches the Rfam family "Bacterial small subunit ribosomal RNA", at positions 338 to 795 of the family's 1533-position model. The record is from RNAcentral. Lineage: Bacteria; Pseudomonadati; Pseudomonadota; Gammaproteobacteria; Enterobacterales; Enterobacteriaceae.
CCUACGGGCGGCAGCAGUGGGGAAUAUUGCACAAUGGGCGCAAGCCUGAUGCAGCCAUGCCGCGUGUGUGAAGAAGGCCUUCGGGUUGUAAAGCACUUUCAGCGGGGAGGAAGGCGGUGAGGUUAAUAACCUCAUCGAUUGACGUUACCCGCAGGAGAAGCACCGGCUAACUCCAUGCCAGCAGCCGCGGUAAUACGGAGGGUGCAAGCGUUAAUCGGAAUUACUGGGCGUAAAGCGCACGCAGGCGGUCUGUCAAGUCGGAUGUGAAAUCCCCGGGCUCAACCUGGGAACUGCAUUCGAAACUGGCAGGCUAGAGUCUUGUAGAGGAGGGUAGAAUUCCAGGUGUAGCGGUGAAAUGCGUAGAGAUCUGGAGGAAUACCGGUGGCGAAGGCGGCCCCCUGGACAAAGACUGACGCUCAGGUGCGAAAGCGUGGGGAGCAAACAGGAUUAGAUACCCGAGUAGUC